Molecule: ribosomal RNA, 422 nt
Filed under: uncultured bacterium
Lineage: Bacteria
Description: bacterial SSU rRNA
Rfam family: Bacterial small subunit ribosomal RNA
Source: RNAcentral
UAAGGAAUAUUGGACAAUGGAGGCAACUCUGAUCCAGCCAUGCCGCGUGAAGGAAUAAGGCCCUAUGGGUUGUAAACUUCUUUUAGACGGGACAAAACCCCUUUACGUGUAAAGGGUUGAUGGUACUGUCAGAAUAAGCAUCGGCUAACUUCGUGCCAGCAGCCGCGGUAAUACGAAGGAUGCAAGCGUUAUCCGGAAUUAUUGGGUUUAAAGGGUGCGUAGGCGGACUAAUAAGUCAGUGGUGAAAGCCUGCAGCUUAACUGCAGAAUUGCCAUUGAUACUGUUAGUCUUGAGUACAGUUGAGGUAGGCGGAAUGUGUCAUGUAGCGGUGAAAUGCUUAGAUAUGACACAGAACACCGAUUGCGAAGGCAGCUUGCUAAGCUGUAACUGACGCUGAGGCACGAAAGCGUGGAGAGCAAACA